This 475-nucleotide ribosomal RNA is filed under the name uncultured bacterium. RNAcentral describes it as "bacterial SSU rRNA". It matches the Rfam family "Bacterial small subunit ribosomal RNA", at positions 28 to 507 of the family's 1533-position model. The record is from RNAcentral.
GACGAACGCUGGCGGCGUGCCUAACACAUGCAAGUCGAGCGGGGUUGAAGCGAGGGGUAACUCGAACUUCUACCUAGCGGCGGACGGGUGAGUAACGCGUGGGCAACCUGCCUCAAGGUCUGGGAUAACAGCUCGAAAGGGCUGCUAAUACCGGAUAUGCCUAUAGCCUCGCAUGGGGCUAUGAGCAAAGGGGAAACCCGCCUUGAGAUGGGCCCGCGUCCCAUCAGCUAGUUGGUGAGGUGAAGGCUCACCAAGGCGACGACGGGUAGCCGGCCUGAGAGGGUGACCGGCCACACUGGGACUGAGACACGGCCUAGACUCCUACGGGGGGCAGCAGUGGGGAAUCUUGCACAAUGGGCGAAAGCCUGAUGCAGCGACGCCGCGUGAGCGAAGAAGGCCUUCGGGUUGUAAAGCUCUGUCUGGAAGGACGAAGAAAGUGACGGUACCUCCGGAGGAAGCCACGGCUAACUACGUG